UUAAAGGAGACCUACCCACUCAGAUAUUGAAUUUAUUUGUAAUUAAAUACUGAGUUGGUCAUCCUAUAGGUCGGUCGCGCAAUUGUUGUUAAGUUUCUUUCAAACUAUAUUUUGGUUCGUAUGGGCUAUUAGCUCAGGUGGUUAGAGCGCACCCCUGAUAAGGGUGAGGUCCCUGGUUCGAGUCCAGGAUGGCCCACCUGAAAAAAAGUCAGGAGUCAGAAAGAAAAAGUUCUGAAUACUGAGUUUUGAAUUCUGGGGGUUUAGCUCAGUUGGUAGAGCGCCUGCUUUGCAAGCAGGAUGUCAGCGGUUCGAGUCCGCUAACCUCCACCAGAAUGUUGUUGUAUUCUAAUCGGGAAAAGUUCAGCAACUGAGCGGAUUAUUCGCCAGACUGCUGGAUAUAUUUCCAGCUAUUGAACCUUGAAAACUGCAUACUGAAGCGAAUAAGCAGGCAGACACAGACAUAACUUGUUAUUUGUGUGUUUGGAUGAAUUAGCAAUUGUUUAAUU
This 506-nucleotide transfer RNA is filed under the name Tolypothrix sp. CNP3-B1-C1. Its description in RNAcentral is "16S-23S ribosomal RNA intergenic spacer". The stretch from base 255 to 327 matches the Rfam family "tRNA". Lineage: Bacteria; Bacillati; Cyanobacteriota; Cyanophyceae; Nostocales; Tolypothrichaceae. The record is from RNAcentral.